This 445-nucleotide ribosomal RNA is filed under the name uncultured bacterium. Its description in RNAcentral is "partial 16S ribosomal RNA". It matches the Rfam family "Bacterial small subunit ribosomal RNA", at positions 354 to 796 of the family's 1533-position model. The record is from RNAcentral.
GUAGGGAAUAUUGGUCAAUGGACGAAAGUCUGAACCAGCCAUUCCGCGUGCAGGAAGAAGAUUCUAUGGAUUGUAAACUGCUUUUAGCAGAGAAGAAACGCCUUCAUUGAUGAGGGUUUGACGGUAUCUGCGGAAUAAGCACCGGCUAACUCCGUGCCAGCAGCCGCGGUAAUACGGGGGGUGCAAGCGUUAUCCGGAAUCACUGGGUUUAAAGGGUGCGUAGGCGGGAAAUUAAGUCAGUGGUGAAAGUCUGUUGCUUAACGAUAGAAUUGCCGUGGAUACUGAUUUUCUUGAAUUGGGUUGAGGUUAGCGGAAUGUGACAUGUAGCGGUGAAAUGCAUAGUUAUGUCAUGGAACACCAAUUGCGAAGGCAGCUAGCUGGGCCUUGAUUGACGCUGAGGCACGAAAGCGUGGGUAGCGAACAGGAUUAGAUACCCUAGUAGUCC